This 460-nucleotide ribosomal RNA is filed under the name uncultured Sphingobacteriales bacterium. Its description in RNAcentral is "bacterial SSU rRNA". It matches the Rfam family "Bacterial small subunit ribosomal RNA", at positions 920 to 1382 of the family's 1533-position model. The record is from RNAcentral. Lineage: Bacteria; Pseudomonadati; Bacteroidota; Sphingobacteriia; Sphingobacteriales.
CCCGCACAAGCGGUGGAGCAUGUGGUUUAAUUCGAUGAUACGCGAGGAACCUUACCUGGGCUCAAAUGUAUGUUGACGUAUUCUGAAAGGGAUACUUCUUCGGACAAUAUACAAGGUGCUGCAUGGUUGUCGUCAGCUCGUGCCGUGAGGUGUCGGGUUAAGUCCCAUAACGAGCGCAACCCCUAUCAUUAGUUGCCAUCAGGUCAAGCUGGGGACUCUAAUGAAACUGCCUACGCAAGUAGUGAGGAAGGUGGGGAUGACGUCAAAUCAGCACGGCCCUUACGUCCAGGGCUACACACGUACUACAAUGGCCGAUACAGAGGGCAGCUACCUGGUGACAGGAUGCAAAUCUCCAAAGUCGGUCUCAGUUCGGAUCGGAGUCUGCAACCCGACUCCGUGAAGUUGGAUUCGCUAGUAAUCGCGCAUCAGCCAUGGCGCGGUGAAUACGUUCCCGGGCCUU